AGGUGUAAGACCUCGGCAUACUGCUCAGUAACACGUGGUUAACCUGCCCUAAGGUGGAGAAUACUCCCGGGAAACUGGGGCUAAUGCUCCAUAGUGGAUAUAUCCUGGAAUGGUAUAUCCUCGAAAGAUCCGUCGCCUUAGGAUGGGACUGCGUCCGAUUAGGUUGUUGGCGGGGUAACGGCCCACCAAGCCUUUUAUCGGUACGGGUUGUGGGAGCAAGAUCCCGGAGAUGGAUUCUGAGACAUGAAUCCAGGCCCUACGGGGCGCAGCAGGCGCGCAAACUUUACAAUGCGAGCAAUCGUGAUAAGGAAACCCUGAGUGCCUGUCGAUGCAGGCUGUUCAUAUAUCUAAAUCAUAUGUGAAGAAAGGGCAGGGCAAGACCGGUGCCAGCCGCCGCGGUAAUACCGGCUGCUCGAGUGAUGGCCACUAUUACUGGGUUUAAAGCGUCCGUAGCUUGACUGUUAGGUCUCUUGGGAAAUCUUCGCGCUCAACGUGAAGGCGUCUAAGAGAUACCGGCAGUCUUGGAACUGGGAGAGGUAAACCGUACUUCGGGGGUAGGAGUGAAAUCUUGUAAUCCUCGAGGGACGACCUAUGGCGAAGGCAGUUUACCAGAACAGCUUCGACAGUGAGGGACGAAAGCUGGGGGAGCAAACGGGAUUAGAUACCCCGGUAGUCCCAGCCGUAAACAAUGUGCGUUAGGUGUGUCGGUAACCACGUGUUACUGAUGCGCCGAAGAGAAAUCGUGAAACGCACCACCUGGGAAGUACGGUCGCAAGGCUGAAACUUAA
Molecule: ribosomal RNA, 788 nt
Filed under: uncultured euryarchaeote
Lineage: Archaea; Methanobacteriati; Methanobacteriota
Description: bacterial SSU rRNA
Rfam family: Archaeal small subunit ribosomal RNA
Source: RNAcentral